AGAGUUUGAUCCUGGCUCAGAUUGAACGCUGGCGGCGUGCUUAACACAUGCAAGUCGAUCGGUAACGCGGGGGCAACCCUGGCGACGAGAGGCGGACGGGUGAGGAACGCUUGGGAAUCUGCCUAUCAGCGGGGGACAACACGGGGAAACUCGUGCUAAUACCGCAUACGCUCUACGGAGGAAAGCCGGGGACCGCAAGGCCUGGCACUGAUAGAUGAGCCCAAGCCGGAUUAGCUAGUUGGCGGGGUAACGGCCCACCAAGGCGACGAUCCGUAGCUGGUCUGAGAGGACGAUCAGCCACACUGGAACUGAGACACGGUCCAGACUCCUACGGGAGGCAGCAGUGGGGAAUAUUGGACAAUGGGGGAAACCCUGAUCCAGCGACGCCGCGUGGGUGAAGAAGGCCUGCGGGUUGUAAAGCCCUUUCGGUAGGGACGAAAGCUCUCGACCUAACACGUCGGGAGGUUGACUUAACCUACAAAAGAAGCACCGGCUAACUCUGUGCCAGCAGCCGCGGUAAUACAGAGGGUGCGAGCGUUAAUCGGAAUUACUGGGCGUAAAGCGCACGUAGGCGGCUUGGUAUGUCGGGUGUGAAAUCCCCGGGCUCAACCUGGGAACUGCAUCCGAAACUGCCUUGCUNGAGUAUGGGAGAGGGAAGUGGAAUUUCCGGUGUAGCGGUGAAAUGCGUAGAUAUCGGAAGGAACAUCAGUGGCGAAGGCGACUUCCUGGACCAAUACUGACGCUCAGGUGCGAAAGCGUGGGGAGCAAACAGGAUUAGAUACCCUGGUAGUCCACGCCCUAAACGAUGACAACUGGAUGUCGGGAGGGUUUGCCUUCCGGUGUCGUAGCUAACGCGUUAAGUUGUCCGCCUGGGAAGUACGGCCGCAAGGUUGAAACUUAAAGGAAUUGACGG
Molecule: ribosomal RNA, 913 nt
Filed under: uncultured bacterium
Lineage: Bacteria
Description: bacterial SSU rRNA
Rfam family: Bacterial small subunit ribosomal RNA
Source: RNAcentral